Molecule: unclassified non-coding RNA, 2619 nt
Filed under: Rhopalosiphum maidis (corn leaf aphid)
Lineage: Eukaryota; Metazoa; Arthropoda; Insecta; Hemiptera; Aphididae
Description: eLAV-like protein 3, transcript variant X2
Source: RNAcentral
UAUAUUGUACGUCGAGGACGACGACGACGACGACGCCGCCACCGCCGCACACGUCGAAGUCAGACGCGUCUCACUUUUCCCGCACUCUCACCGUCGCUCGCUCGCUCUCGGACGUCCGGACGUCUUCGUCGUCUCUCCCGCACACGCGUCUUACUCUACUUGCCCUGUCACUGUCUCUUUUUUUCUAUUUGAUUUUUCUUCGUUUCGUAUUUUACGUUUUUUUUUCGUUUUAUAGUCGACCGACCGAAAAUGCGUUUGCUGACAGUUGAUUCCGUAGUUCGCCGUGCCGGUACUUGUGCGUUUGGAAAAUGCCACUGAACUUGGGCAGUUCUCGACGGACUGCGAGUUGCGAGUCAACAAUCAUAAUUCAUAAUAUUAUUUUAGCUUGUCAGCUGUUUUUUUGGCUGUACUUAACAAUAUAUUUUUACAUGACUUUAUUGUUUUAGUUUUCAUUUAUUUUAUUUGUUUACUGAAAACAAAAAACAACUAGUCAACAAAUCUAUAAAGAAUAAUAAUUAUCAAUAUGAUGCAAAACGGAAUGGAUUCACUACCACAUAAUGGUUCAAUACAUACCUCAAGUACAAAUUCUCAUGCAUCACAAGGAAAUUCUUUGAAUGAAGAAAGUAAAACCAACCUUAUUGUAAAUUACUUACCUCAAACAAUGACUCAAGAAGAAAUUAGAUCAUUAUUUUCUUCAAUUGGUGAAGUUGAAAGCUGUAAACUUAUUAGAGAUAAAGUCACAGGAUCUCUUCCAUCAGGUCAAAGUUUGGGUUAUGGUUUUGUUAACUAUCAUCGACCAGAAGAUGCAGAAAAAGCAAUUAAUACAUUAAAUGGACUAAGACUACAAAAUAAAACAAUUAAGGUAUCUUUUGCAAGACCUAGUAGUGAAGCAAUUAAAGGGGCUAAUUUAUAUGUGAGUGGUCUUCCAAAACAUAUGACUCAACAAGACCUUGAAAAUUUAUUUAGUCCAUAUGGUCGGAUAAUAACAUCAAGAAUUUUAUGUGAUAAUAUGACUGAUAUGUUCACAGUUCGACAAUUUGUGGGAAAUACAGGAGGAGAUCAUUCGCCGUCAAUUUCAAAAGGUGUUGGUUUUAUAAGAUUUGAUCAAAGAAUUGAAGCCGAACGAGCAAUUCAAGAAUUAAAUGGAACUGUUCCCAAAGGUUCAACAGAAUCAAUUACUGUGAAGUUUGCCAACAAUCCUAGUAGCAAUAAAGCAGUACCUGCAUUGGCAGCUUAUUUAACUCCUCAAGGAGCUCGAAGGUUUGCUGCUGGCCCUAUUCAUCACCCUACUGGGCGCUUCAGGUAUAUUCCACUCUCCCCUUUAUCCAGCACUGGAAAGACCAUGCUAGCCAUAAACAAAGGCUUACAGAGAUAUUCACCAUUAGCGGGUGAUCUGUUAGCAAACUCUAUGUUACCUGGUAAUUCAAUGAAUGGAUCUGGCUGGUGCAUAUUCGUGUAUAACUUGGCGCCAGAAACAGAGGAAAAUGUAUUGUGGCAACUAUUUGGUCCAUUUGGUGCUGUACAAAGUGUAAAAGUUAUUAGAGAUUUACAAACAAACAAAUGCAAAGGAUUUGGAUUUGUCACUAUGACUAAUUAUGAUGAAGCAGUUGUUGCCAUUCAAUCUCUUAAUGGAUAUACGUUAGGCAAUCGCGUACUUCAAGUAUCUUUCAAAACCAAUAAAGGCAAAGGAGAUGCAUCCAGUUUGUUAAUGUCUCUUGCUGAUUCAUUAACUGACUGUUAAUAAUUUCAUCAAUCUUCUUCGAAUAUUUUCAAAUGUUUACAUAAUUCAUUCUCCCUUCUAAUACAUCUUUAACUGAAUUGCAAAUUCGCUGAUAUUUAUCAUGUCUAAAGAAGGUAAAUAUCAUAUUUACCGAUUUACAUAAAAUGUCCAUGAGAAGCUAUUUGUAAGUCAAUGUAAUAUUUUUACUUUUUUACUCAUUCUUAUAAUGCCGUUAGGUACAAGAAAAAACAAUACAUUUUAUGUACUUAAUAAUAAAUAAUCUUAUCUUCCCCCCUCCAUCCACAAUAAAAGACAAUUUCUGAUACAAUUUCAUAUUUUUUCAACUUAUUUUAUUGUUAAAUAUUUUUGAGUGAAAGUUGUUACCAACAGUUGAGAAUAUAACAAUGUAAUGAUUAAGAAGUAUUGAAAGAACUAUUAUUCAUAGAAAACUUGUUCAUUUUGCAUUUAUUAAUAAUUCUGAAAGAAUCCAGUCAAUUUCUAUAACGUACCUAUGUAAUAUUAAGAACAUAUUUGUUUGUUUAUUUGUUGCUUGCAUGCAGUUGUGCAAGUAUAUAACCAAAUUAUUUGAUUUGUUUUUACUUGCACGUUAACCGGUGUGAUUAUUGAUCUCAAUGAACAGUAUUCAACACUGUUUAAAAACAAUAACAUAUAAAUCUAAUUAGUACUGAUCGUAGUACAUAAUGUAAUAAAGGGUGGACUUAUUGGAGAUUAUUUAACAAAAGUUAAUUACUUAAUUUAAAACCACAGGGUAAUUUUAUGAAGUCAAGUUUAAUACAAAAACAAAAUUCCAUCAAUUAAAACUGGAUAUUUUUAAUGCUAUAUUUAUUUAAUAAAAAUCCUGGAUUACAAUAGUUCUAACCAUAAAUAAUAUUUAUACA